RNAcentral lists this ribosomal RNA (604 nucleotides) under uncultured fungus. RNAcentral describes it as "eukaryotic LSU rRNA". The stretch from base 215 to 369 matches the Rfam family "5.8S ribosomal RNA". Lineage: Eukaryota; Fungi. The record is from RNAcentral.
GGAAGGAUCAUUACCGAAUUGUCAAACACGGGUUGUUGCUGGCCCCCGAACGGGGCAUGUGCACGCUCUGUUUACACAUCCACUCACACCUGUGCACCCUCUGUAGUUCUGUGGACCGGGAGACAUUGUCUUCCUUCCGUAGCUCUACGUCUUUACACACACACCGUAGCGAUGUCUCAUGGAAUGUUUUUUCGCGUUUAACGCAAUACAAUACAACUUUCAGCAACGGAUCUCUUGGCUCUCGCAUCGAUGAAGAACGCAGCGAAAUGCGAUAAGUAAUGUGAAUUGCAGAAUUCAGUGAAUCAUCGAAUCUUUGAACGCACCUUGCGCCCCUUGGUUAUUCCUCGGAGCAUGCCUGUUUGAGUAUCAUGAACACCUCAACUCUCAUGGUCUUCCAUGAUGAGCUUGGACUUUGGGGGUUUGCUGGCCUUGUGGCCAGCUCCUCUCAAAUGAAUCAGCUUGCCAGUGUUUGGCGGCGUCACGGGUGUGAUAACUAUCUACGCUCGCGGUUGUCCGUCAGGUAACCCUCAGCGAUGAAGGUUCAUUGGGGCUCAUAAACGUCUCUCCCCAGCGAGGACAACUUUUGAACGUUCGAUCUCAAAUC